Molecule: long non-coding RNA, 1107 nt
Filed under: Cyanistes caeruleus (blue tit)
Lineage: Eukaryota; Metazoa; Chordata; Aves; Passeriformes; Paridae
Description: lncRNA (ENSCCEG00000012708.1)
Source: RNAcentral
GAACAGGAGACCAUCCCCUUUGCUGCACCUGUUACCUAUACCCGAACAAGAAGAACCCCUAAGUGGCAACCUUUUGAUUAUCAGUUGUUAAGAAUAAUAUGUUACAGUUGCUGUUUGUAAACUCCUUAUUUAUCUUGUACCCCGGUCCCAGGAUAUUGUUAAGAAUAAUACGUUCCAGUUGCUGUUUGUAAACUCCUUACUUACCUUGUACCCCUGUCCCAGGUUUACUUACCUUGUACCCCUGUCGCAAAUUGCUGUACCCCAUAUUUUUGUUCCUUGUUCAGCCAGGCCCUGCCCCCUCUCCCAAGUUGCUGUACCCUGUGUUUCUUGUUCUGUGUUCAGCCAGGCACUGCCCCCACUGCUCCUAGACUCCCACAUGGCAACAUUGUAUCCCUUUCCCAAGUUGCUGUACCGCUCUGAGGAGGAAGAUGACAUACUGACUUUUAUGCAAACGAGAGAGACCAGAGACUUAUGGGAUGCACCCAGACUGGAAAAGACCCCAAAACAACGAGCCACGCAAAAGGGAAGGAAUAGAACCAGCACCAUCUAACAAGGAAGACCCAGAGGAGUCCCCUGACUUCUUUCCAGAGGCCGACAUAACCUCGAGGAGACUCGACUGGGAUGACAGCCUAGACUACGAGCCUGAAAGAACGAGUCUUCCCGGGGACUCCCGUGAGGAAGGAAGGCCCAGCUCUGCCCUAGUGACAGAGCUGCACAGAUCCUCCUCUUCUGCGGUGUCCAGUGGGAGCAGUGGCGGUGUGCGCGACCCCUCGGGCCCCCACCCCAGAGCUGUGCUGCUUAAUAAAGGCCUUUUUAAAAGGAGCUGGUCUCCUGGCCCGUUUAUCACAGCUUGGGGGCUCAUCCGGGAUAGCCACGCCCUGAAGAGGACCAGGGACGGGACGGCCGCCCACUCUAUUGGGCCUCCGGGGGACAGCUGGCUAUACCAGACCCAGAAGAACAGCCUGGGAUCGACAUCGCAGAAGAGCGCCGGAUUGGGAAUUUUCCUAGGAAAUCAGAUAACUCCUAAUACUUGAAUUUCAUUCUGUGUCCCUUCAAGAAAGGAAGAUAAAAUCUAUAUAACGAAAUAAAUUAGUAUUCACUUUUUCA